AUACAUAGGGGGCAAGCGUUAUCCGGAAUUAUUGGGCGUAAAGCGUGCGUAGGCGGUUUAUUAAGUCUGAUGUUAAAUCCCACAGCUCAACUGUAGGCUGCCAUUGGAAACUGGUAGACUUGAGUGCGGUAGAGGUAAGUGGAAUUCCAAGUGGAGCGGUGGAAUGCGUAGAUAUUUGGAGGAACACCAGUGGCGAAGGCGGCUUACUGGGCCGUUACUGACGCUGAGGCACGAAAGCGUGGGGAGCAAACAGGAUUAGAUACCCUGGUAGUCCACGCCGUAAACGAUGAGUGCUAAGUGUUGGAGGGUUUCCGCCCUUCAGUGCUGCAGCUAACGCAUUAAGCACUCCGCCUGGGGAGUACGGCCGCAAGGCUGAAACUCAAAGGAAUUGACGGGG
Molecule: ribosomal RNA, 397 nt
Filed under: uncultured bacterium
Lineage: Bacteria
Description: partial 16S ribosomal RNA
Rfam family: Bacterial small subunit ribosomal RNA
Source: RNAcentral